This 359-nucleotide unclassified non-coding RNA is filed under the name Hevea brasiliensis (rubber tree). Lineage: Eukaryota; Viridiplantae; Streptophyta; Magnoliopsida; Malpighiales; Euphorbiaceae. The record is from RNAcentral.
AAAACAAAUUAAAAUUUAGAUAAUGGGAUGAUAGUGAAACAGUGUAUAUACCUCCCUAUAGGCAUAGACCCAAGUUCUAAUCUUGUUCCAGGCCCCUCUUGGAGAGAGUAACCUAUUUGCUAUUGUUAUUCUUCCUUUAAGCAUUCUAUUAGUAGGAAAUUUAAAUGAGUAAAUUUAUGUAGUUUUUCAGUGUAAUUUAGCAAUGUCCUAUUUUAUAAUAUGCUUUUCAUUGUGUUGAUUUAUUUUAGCUGUGAGAGAACUUAGAAUUCUACAUGACAUGAAGGUUGCUUUUGAUGUUCACGCUUUCCCAUCGCGUAUGUCAGGGGCAAUAUGCUGAUCAAUAGCUGCACUGGUAUUUG